AAGCGAUGAUAUCAAGGGGCAUGCCAAGAGCGUUGAGUUGAUCUUGCGGGAGGGGUUGCACAGUGAAACCUCAACUUGGCGUAAGCAUUUUUGCCGAAAGAAAAUGUAAAUA
Molecule: non-coding RNA, 112 nt
Filed under: unclassified sequences
Description: drum RNA
Rfam family: drum RNA
About the family: Firmicutes, Bacteroidetes (1 example), Proteobacteria (2 examples), Spirochaetes (2 examples). Terminator (Clostridia)
Source: Rfam by way of RNAcentral